ACAUACAUAUGAUACUCUCAUACACAUAUGCAUCGCACACGCAGGCGCGACGCAUACAACAGAAUGCGCUUAUCCCAAGGCCGCGACUUUACUGCUCGCUGAGAUACCGCUUGCACCGACAAGUCGACGCGUCCGUCGUAUGAUCUCAUUCUCUUGCGCGCGGACGUCCUUCGUGCUUACGAUUUUUUUUUUUCCAUCAUUUUUCUAACGCCAGAUCAAAUUGUCGCACUCCAAGCGCGCGCGCUCCUCCUUCCCACGCAUGUCCCAGUACCUACGUGUCAUCAGGGCUGUAUUAAGAUACAGGCUCUGAUGUCUCUCUACGUGGGUGCUGGACAUGUGUGUGAUGCACAUGAUAAAGGGCAUGUAUAUACAUAUAUAUAUGCAUGCUCUACAAUGUAUCUAUAUCUAUACAUUUCGUUGUUGCGAAGAUUAGAAAAUCGUGGAGCAUGAUAGAACCGAACGCAGAUAAGAAUAUAAUGACAGUUUUAAUGUGAUAAAUGUUUACGGUGUGUAACACAAUGCACAGUCGAUGAAGUUUCCUCCAGUAAGCGCAUUCGUGCGGUUAUACAUGUGUGACCACGUAAGGAAACGUCUAUGACGAAGGUUAUGGCAUAACCGGAUAAGCAGAUCGCCGAGGUUUCUCAUUUCGCUAAAAGUAUGGGAAACUUUAUGGGUGACAUCGUGAUCUGCUUGAUGCUACUACUUUCAGUCAGUAUCAUAUUCGGAAUCAGCGAGAUCAUCAAAUCGUUGAC
This is a long non-coding RNA of Formica exsecta, 752 nucleotides long. RefSeq lists it as uncharacterized. The transcript has 3 exons. The record is from RefSeq and is a predicted model, not a curated record. Lineage: Eukaryota; Metazoa; Arthropoda; Insecta; Hymenoptera; Formicidae.